AGGGAGAGGCAGUGCUGACUUCUCUGAGGUCCAGUGAAGACGGUUCCCCCACCAUGGCUGGGCGGAGAGCGAUUAAAGCCAAGGGGACUGCCUCUGGCUCCCCAGGUUCCAGACCCCAUCCUGACUCCCACCUGCAUCACCUUCCUGCUGAGCCGCGGGGCCACGCUGCCGGCUCAGAGGGCGCCCUGCCAGGCCUCCACUCCACCCGCCCAGCUUCACCCCUUCUCACCCAGGCAUCCCCCCCGGCCCGCCCCCGCAGCCUGGCCUGGGAGGUUCCAGGAGGCUCCAGGGCCACCUGCCCAGAGAGCAGGUGAGGAGCAUUGUGAGAAGAAGCAGUCUGGAAACAGGGGGAUCAGUCCCAGGUGAGAGACCUGGGCCUGGGGAGAGGGGAGCCCCAAAACCGAGGUUGGGGGACAGGAAGCCGGCGCCCCACCCUGCCUCCUCCCCCACCGCAGGUACCAGGCCCAGAAACCGCGGAAAGGGGAACUUGGUCUUUUCUUGUUUUGCUCUCAACCCCUUCCUGUCUCCAGGCUCAGGGCAGC
This 542-nucleotide long non-coding RNA is filed under the name Lynx pardinus (Iberian lynx). Lineage: Eukaryota; Metazoa; Chordata; Mammalia; Carnivora; Felidae. The record is from RNAcentral.